RNAcentral lists this ribosomal RNA (525 nucleotides) under uncultured bacterium. RNAcentral describes it as "bacterial SSU rRNA". It matches the Rfam family "Bacterial small subunit ribosomal RNA", at positions 95 to 606 of the family's 1533-position model. The record is from RNAcentral.
GCGGCGGACGGGUGAGUAACACGUGGGCAACCUGCCUGCAAGACCGGGAUAACUGCGGGAAACCGGAGCUAAUACCGGAUAAGAGGCUUUUCCGCAUGGGGGAGCCUUAAAAGGCGGCGGAAGUCGUCACUUGCAGAUGGGCCCGCGGCGCAUUAGCUAGUUGGUGAGGGAAGGGCUCACCAAGGCGACGAUGCGUAGCCGACCUGAGAGGGCGACCGGCCACACUGGGACUGAGACACGGCCCAGACUCCUACGGGAGGCAGCAGUAGGGAAUUUUCGGCAAUGGGGGGAACCCUGACCGAGCAACGCCGCGUGAGCGAGGACGGCCUUCGGGUUGUAAAGCUCUGUCAUGUGGGAAGAACGGCUAGGAGAGGGCAUGCUCUUAGCGUGACGGUACCACAGGAGGAAGCCCCGGCUAACUACGUGCCAGCAGCCGCGGUAACACGUAGGGGGCGAGCGUUGUCCGGAAUUAUUGGGCGUAAAGGGCGCGCAGGCGGUCUCUUAAGUCUGAUGUGAAAGGCCACG